RNAcentral lists this non-coding RNA (28 nucleotides) under Mus musculus (house mouse). Lineage: Eukaryota; Metazoa; Chordata; Mammalia; Rodentia; Muridae. The record is from RNAcentral.
UGGAACCUGAGAGGAUGGAAAAUCUGGA